This 227-nucleotide ribosomal RNA is filed under the name uncultured bacterium. Its description in RNAcentral is "partial 16S ribosomal RNA". It matches the Rfam family "Bacterial small subunit ribosomal RNA", at positions 541 to 768 of the family's 1533-position model. The record is from RNAcentral.
UUGUCCGGAAUUACUGGGUGUAAGGGAGCGCAGGCGGAAGCGCAAGUUGGAUGUGAACCCAUGGGCUCAACCCAUGGCCUGCAUCCAAAACUGUGUUUCUUGAGUAGUGCAGAGGUAGGCGGAAUUCCCGGUGUAGCGGUGGAAUGCGUAGAUAUCGGGAGGAACACCAGUGGCGAAGGCGGCCUACUGGGGCACCAACUGACGCUGAGGCUCGAAAGCAUGGGGUA